AAGUAUGAAAUUGACAACAAAAUCACACAACUAUUUUGCAGAUGCUAUUUUUAUUUGAUGGAUCUAACUAAACUAGUAAGCAAAAAAAUUAAUGGCAAAACCAAAGUUGAGGUGCGCCAAAGACGAAAGAUGGUCGCUCCAUGACAGCCAGCUCUAGUGACAGGAGGCACUCGAAGCAUAGGUGAGAGCGCUUCUCCAUCCAGAGAUAGAAAGGUUUUUUCUACAUCAUCAACCCCAAAGAGUCUAGUAUUGGCCUCUGAAACGACGGUAUUAUUCUGCUUCCCACUUUUUUCCCAAGACAUAGGAUGGAGAGAAGAGAAUAUAGACAAGAAAAGACAGAAAGCUCACACAAGCUUGCUUGCUUACUGUAAUGUAAUGGUUAUAGAGAGUUAGUAUUUAUUAAAUUGAUGGAAGCAUCAAAAGGUUGCAGAGAAAAAGAGAGAGGCAUGGCAGCGCUUGCAGUAUAGAUCACGUGUGUGAGAGCGCUUCUUCAUCGAGAGAUACAAAGACUUUUACUACAACAUCAACCCCAAAGAGUCCAGUAUUGGCCUCUGAAACAAUAUUCUUCUCCUACCCGUUCUUUUUUCCUUAAUUAUUUUCUCGGUUUUGUUCUUUUCCAGUGAAAGCACUUCUCCAUCAAGAGAUACAAAGGUAUUCUUUACACAUCAGUAACGUCCAGAGUAGAAUGGUAUUCUGCUUUCCACUUUUUUUUUUCGAGACAUAGGAGGGAGAGAAGAGAAUAUAGAUAGGGGAAGUAAAAUAGUUCUAACUUGAUAGCAAAACAACAUAAAAUUGAAUAUGAACUGGGAUUGAGUAUCGAUUCAUGGGGUGACAGUGAUGUUUUGCUUCUUCAAGAAAUAAUGUGUCUAAAACAUUCCAUAUUUACCGUGAAUGGAUUAAUGGAUCCAAUUAUGUGUUAAAUUUUGGAAGGAUAUUUUUUCCGAAUCCAUUUGCCUAUAGAGAAUUGGUUUCUCUCUUCCUAUUUUUAUCAUUCUUCCAUUCUUGAAUGAGUCAACCCGCGUGUGCGUACCUCCCUAGUAAGUUAGCCAAGACAAAAUGAGCUGAGAAAUACGUUAUUGCAACAAUUGAAAAACUUGAUUACCCUUCCUCUUGUUGUUAAGUGUUUAUUCUUUGCUCUUGACUUUGUUCCAGCAUGUUCAAAAGUUUUCUCUUUCUCUCCCGUCUAAGACAGAAAAAUGAAAGGUAGCAUGUGCAACUUAUCUCCAUUAGAGACUACAAGACAAGAUAAAACAUGUGUUAUACUUUGGGUUUCUGUUAGGGUUUCAUGGUUUAAAUCUAUGUAAAUGAGUAGUUUUAAUAAGUUUUUGUCUGGAUUUUGUUUCGCUGUUGGUUUUUGAGUUUAGGGUCUCUACAACAUUCAUUGUUGCUCUUUGAGUUUGUGAUUUUCAUUUCAUCAACAUCAACAACACCGAAUAUUCUACUACCCAUUCCUUUUUUUCUUAAUCAUUUUCUUGAUUUUGUUCUUUUUCAGUUUGAGCCCUUCUCCAUCGAGAUAGUAAAUGUUUUCUAUACAACAUCAACCCCUAAGAGUCCAAUCUUGACCUCAGAAACGUUAUUCUUUUGCUACCCAGUUUUUUUUUCUUAAUCAUUUUCUUGGUUUUGUUCUUUUUCAAUCAAAGCGCUUCUCCAAGUUUCCAGAUUUAUGCCAACAUCACAACAUUGAAUUCCUCCCGUUUAGAGCUAUACUUGCUUCAACAAUUGACAGUACAACAGGUCAAUUAUUACAUACACCAUUCUCAAAGAGGUUCUAGAAAACCUAUCAAGCUACAUUUCAGAUGAUGUUAUACUAUAAUUCUUACUAGAACCCCUGCGUUUUCCUAGGGUGGUUUACGGAUGAAGCAAGGUUGACUCUCCACACCUAUUGGAGUUGCUCCCAUUUAUCCAAUGGUUUAAGAAAUAUGUUGGAUGGUUCACUAACGAUCCAAUAAUAGUAUUGACUCAAUCUAUGCAAUCCAUUAUUUUCUUUUGUAAUUGGAUAUUUUGGCUGGAUUUAUUUAUGGAUGAAUUAGAAAGUUAUGGGAUAAAUAGAUCCAAUUGUCA
This is a long non-coding RNA of Glycine soja, 2061 nucleotides long. RefSeq lists it as uncharacterized. The transcript has 7 exons. The record is from RefSeq and is a predicted model, not a curated record. NCBI's taxonomy places the organism in Eukaryota, Viridiplantae, Streptophyta, Magnoliopsida, Fabales, Fabaceae.